This is a long non-coding RNA of Cryptomeria japonica (Japanese cedar), 427 nucleotides long. RefSeq lists it as uncharacterized. The record is from RefSeq and is a predicted model, not a curated record. The transcript is spliced from 4 exons. Lineage: Eukaryota; Viridiplantae; Streptophyta; Pinopsida; Cupressales; Cupressaceae.
UGAAGGAUGGAGAACAAAGAGGAGACAUAUGUCCUAGUUUACGGUCAAAAUUGGGUAGGUUUCAAGUCAAAGCAUGGCAUCUCCAAGGCACUGCAUAAAACUUGCACACUUCAAACGAAUAUUCCAUCAAGAGAGGUGAUCGAGUGAAAUUCAUUAUUAAAUCCCAAAAGUCAGAUAAUCUGCCAUCCAAAGUUCCUUUGAGGGGUCCAUCUCAUGGUGAUCGAGGGGAAGUACAUUUGUCUUUGGACGACAAUGGUUCAUCUAAAUUUGGAGUACGUUUUGAUAAGGCAAUUCAAGGGGGUGUUGACCUCGGGGGUCUUUGUGAACAAGAUCACGGGUUUUUCUGUAGCGCAAGCGACCUUCUCUUAGAUCACACUAUUGAAGAAAACAUGGACAAGCUACUCCUAAAUGCACUUUUCGAGGUAGU